RNAcentral lists this ribosomal RNA (460 nucleotides) under uncultured bacterium. RNAcentral's name for it is "partial 16S ribosomal RNA". It matches the Rfam family "Bacterial small subunit ribosomal RNA", at positions 338 to 795 of the family's 1533-position model. The record is from RNAcentral.
CCUACGGGUGGCAGCAGUGAGGAAUAUUGGUCAAUGGACGAGAGUCUGAACCAGCCAAGUCGCGUGAGGGAAGACGGCCCUACGGGUUGUAAACCUCUUUUGCCGGGGAGCAACGGGCGCCACGUGUGGCGCCACUGAGAGUACCCGGAGAAAAAGCAUCGGCUAACUCCGUGCCAGCAGCCGCGGUAAUACGGAGGAUGCGCGCGUUAUCCGGAUUUUUUGGGUUUAAAGGGGGCGUAGGCGGAGCGUUAAGUCAGUGGUCAAAUUGAGGGGCUCAACCCCUUCCCGCCAUUGAAACUGGCGCUCUUGAGUGGAAGAGAAGUAUGCGGAAUGCGUGGUGUAGCGGUGAAAUGCAUAGAUGUCACGCAGAACCCCGAUUGCGAAGGCAGCAUGCCGGCUUCCGACUGACGCUGAAGCACGAAAGCGUGGGGAUCGAACAGGAUUAGAUACCCGUGUAGUC